This 75-nucleotide transfer RNA is filed under the name Mogibacterium sp. RNAcentral describes it as "tRNA-Glu". It matches the Rfam family "tRNA". From Rfam's summary of the family: Transfer RNA (tRNA) molecules are approximately 80 nucleotides in length. Their secondary structure includes four short double-helical elements and three loops (D, anti-codon, and T loops). The record is from RNAcentral. Lineage: Bacteria; Bacillati; Bacillota; Clostridia; Peptostreptococcales; Anaerovoracaceae.
GGCGCAUUGGUCAAGAGGUCAGGACGUCGCCCUCUCACGGCGGAAUCCAGGGUUCGAUUCCCUGAUGCGCUACCA